Molecule: long non-coding RNA, 531 nt
Filed under: Mytilus galloprovincialis (Mediterranean mussel)
Lineage: Eukaryota; Metazoa; Mollusca; Bivalvia; Mytilida; Mytilidae
Source: RNAcentral
GGGGGGGGGGGGCCUGGGAUUUUUAUUGUGUUCAUAAUUUUUUUUCAGAACCUUCCUGCGACAAAAUAUUUUUUUUCUUAUGAGAAGGAAAGCAAAAUUUUUUUCCUAUAAUGUGGAACAGAAAUACAAUUUUUUUUCACAAAACCAUAAAAUUAACAUAAAAUUCAUUUUAAUUUUUUAAUUGAUGUAAAAUGUAAAGUGCAUGGCUCUGUCUAUAUCCUGGCAUUGACUGUUGUCUCAGUUGGUUUUUUAGCCCACUUUCUACAUUAUGAUAUUCUCGGAGUCCGUCAUACAGGUAUCCUUAAAUUUUAAUACUGCAAUUGAAGUGGCCACCAUUGCCAUAUGUAAUUGCAAAUAGUGAGUAGCUCCAACUUAUAAAAUCCACUGUUUCCAACUAUGAUAAUUGACAUUCCAUUGAAAAAAGUGGUAUAAAGAAUGAUACAAACGGAAAAUACUACCAGUAUACAAGUCUGUGUCAUACACACUCAGGGCUAUCUUAAAAGACUGCUUAUGAUACCAUAUCUAUUACUG